UUGGGCGUAAAGGGCUUGUAGGCGGUUGGUCGCGUCUGCCGUGAAAGGCCGGGGCUUAACCCCGUGUAUUGCAGUGGGUACGGGCAGACUAGAGUGCAGUAGGGGAGACUGGAAUUCCUGGUGUAGCGGUGGAAUGCGCAGAUAUCAGGAGGAACACCGAUGGCGAAGGCAGGUCUCUGGGCUGUAACUGACGCUGAGAAGCGAAAGCAUGGGGAGCGAACAGGAUUAGAUACCCUGGUAGUCCAUGCCGUAAACGUUGGGCACUAGGUGUGGGGGACAUUCCACGUUUUCCGCGCCGUAGCUAACGCAUUAAGUGCCCCGCCUGGGGAGUACGGCCGCAAGGCUAAAACUCAAAGAAAUUGACGGGGGCCCGCACAAGCGGCGGAGCAUGCGGAUUAAUUCGAUGCAACGCGAAGAACCUUACCAAGGCUUGACAUAUACUGGACCGCAUCAGAGAUGGUGUUUCCCUUCGGGGCUGGUAUACAGGUGGUGCAUGGUUGUCGUCAGCUCGUGUCGUGAG
RNAcentral lists this ribosomal RNA (520 nucleotides) under uncultured bacterium. Its description in RNAcentral is "bacterial SSU rRNA". It matches the Rfam family "Bacterial small subunit ribosomal RNA", at positions 554 to 1071 of the family's 1533-position model. The record is from RNAcentral.